This 29-nucleotide non-coding RNA is filed under the name Homo sapiens (human). Lineage: Eukaryota; Metazoa; Chordata; Mammalia; Primates; Hominidae. The record is from RNAcentral.
UGUGGUCUUUUGUGACUGACUCAUUUAGC